CCUACGGGAGGCUGCAGUCGAGAAUCAUUCACAAUGGGGGAAACCCUGAUGGUGCGACGCCGCGUGGGUGAAUGAAGUUCUUCGGAUUGUAAACUCCUGUCAUGUGGGAGCAGAAUGAAACGGUAGCAUCACAAUAGGAAGCGGCGGCUAACUCUGUGGCAGCAGCCGUGGUAAUACAGAGGUCUCAAGCGUUGUCCGUAAUCACUGGUCGUAAAGCGUGCGUAGGCUGUGUCGUAAGUCGUCGGGGAAACGCGCGGGCUCAACCUGCGGACGGCAAAUGAUACUGCGGGACUAGAGUAAUGGAGGGGGAACCGGAAUUCCUGGUGUAGCAGUGAAAUGCGUAGAUA
RNAcentral lists this ribosomal RNA (347 nucleotides) under uncultured bacterium. RNAcentral's name for it is "partial 16S ribosomal RNA". It matches the Rfam family "Bacterial small subunit ribosomal RNA", at positions 338 to 696 of the family's 1533-position model. The record is from RNAcentral.